CGAACCCAUCCUACGUGCCCCCACCCCAGUGCCAGCCGGGCGAGUUUGCCUGUGCCAACAACCGCUGCAUCCAGGAGCGCUGGAAGUGUGAUGGAGAUAACGACUGUCUGGACAACAGUGAUGAGGCCCCGGCACUGUGCCGUGAGUCACUGUUCCCACCCCGGGGGGCCGGGCACCUGGACUUGGGAUGUGCGCCCACACUGGGCCCUGGGUCGUGGGACUCAGGGUGUGCGCCCGAGUGAACAGAGUGUCUGUUCUCACUGACCCCUGACCCGUUCCCCCGUCCCAGAUCAACACACCUGUCCCUCGGACCGAUUCAAAUGUGAGAACAACCGAUGUAUCCCCAACCGCUGGCUCUGUGAUGGGGAUAACGACUGUGGCAACAGCGAGGACGAGUCCAAUGCCACGUGCUCAGGUGUGGAGUCAGGGACC
Molecule: long non-coding RNA, 432 nt
Filed under: Rattus norvegicus (Norway rat)
Lineage: Eukaryota; Metazoa; Chordata; Mammalia; Rodentia; Muridae
Description: long non-coding RNA NONRATT026843
Source: RNAcentral